Molecule: ribosomal RNA, 893 nt
Filed under: uncultured bacterium
Lineage: Bacteria
Description: bacterial SSU rRNA
Rfam family: Bacterial small subunit ribosomal RNA
Source: RNAcentral
AGAGUUUGAUCCUGGCUCAGGACGAACGCUGGCGGCGUGCUUAACACAUGCAAGUCGAACGAUGAACCACUUCGGUGGGGAUUAGUGGCGAACGGGUGAGUAACACGUGGGCAAUCUGCCCUGCACUCUGGGACAAGCCCUGGAAACGGGGUCUAAUACCGGAUAUGACCAUCUUGGGCAUCCUUGAUGGUGUAAAGCUCCGGCGGUGCAGGAUGAGCCCGCGGCCUAUCAGCUUGUUGGUGAGGUAAUGGCUCACCAAGGCGACGACGGGUAGCCGGCCUGAGAGGGCGACCGGCCACACUGGGACUGAGACACGGCCCAGACUCCUACGGGAGGCAGCAGUGGGGAAUAUUGCACAAUGGGCGAAAGCCUGAUGCAGCGACGCCGCGUGAGGGAUGACGGCCUUCGGGUUGUAAACCUCUUUCAGCAGGGAAGAAGCGAAAGUGACGGUACCUGCAGAAGAAGCGCCGGCUAACUACGUGCCAGCAGCCGCGGUAAUACGUAGGGCGCGAGCGUUGUCCGGAAUUAUUGGGCGUAAAGAGCUCGUAGGCGGCUUGUCGCGUCGGUUGUGAAAGCCCGGGGCUUAACCCCGGGUCUGCAGACGAUACGGGCAGGCUAGAGUUCGGUAGGGGAGAUCGGAAUUCCUGGUGUAGCGGUGAAAUGCGCAGAUAUCAGGAGGAACACCGGUGGCGAAGGCGGAUCUCUGGGCCGAUACUGACGCUGAGGAGCGAAAGCGUGGGGAGCGAACAGGAUUAGAUACCCUGGUAGUCCACGCCGUAAACGGUGGGCACUAGGUGUGGGCGACAUUCCACGUCGUCCGUGCCGCAGCUAACGCAUUAAGUGCCCCGCCUGGGGAGUACGGCCGCAAGGCUAAAACUCAAAUGAAUUGACGG